GAUGUGGUGGCUCAAUGGUAGAGCUUUCGACUCCAGUCUUCUCGGUUGUAAUCGAAGGGUUGCAGGUUCAAUUCCUGUCCAUGUCA
Yarrowia lipolytica is the source of this 86-nucleotide transfer RNA. It matches the Rfam family "tRNA". Rfam says of the family: Transfer RNA (tRNA) molecules are approximately 80 nucleotides in length. Their secondary structure includes four short double-helical elements and three loops (D, anti-codon, and T loops). The record is from Rfam. Lineage: Eukaryota; Fungi; Ascomycota; Dipodascomycetes; Dipodascales.